RNAcentral lists this long non-coding RNA (614 nucleotides) under Mytilus galloprovincialis (Mediterranean mussel). Lineage: Eukaryota; Metazoa; Mollusca; Bivalvia; Mytilida; Mytilidae. The record is from RNAcentral.
GACAAGACAUUUUUUCACUUUAUUUGUAUAUCCAACUUUGAUGGCAUAUAUCUCCAGCUAGGGUACCGCAAUUUUGAUAAAUGAGGUAUUUUUUUAUAAUGUAUAUACUAGAAGAGAAAACAAAACACAUAAUAGCAUAAAUUUGAUUUAUUUUUCUCUUUUAUCACUACACUGAGCAAGCUAAAAUCAAAAGUACAAAAUUGCAUAACAAGCGCAUAGUAUUCAACUUUUUAUCAUAACUUUGUAACCACUGAAGAUUUUUUGUUGCAACAACCAGUAAAAGAAAGAUGAAUAAAUUGUCUAUAACAGUGAACCAAUAAUGUAGUUCAAAUUAAGUUCACUUAUUAACUAUCAAAUGAUAAAAACAGCGAAAUUUUAAAUGAAACAACAUAACGUGAAAUUUUGCCCAUUUUCAGCGUGUAUUUUAGCAUUUUAGUGUUUUUUUUCAAAACGGUAACACCUAUACAUAAUAUUUGAUAUUCAUUGUGAAGCCCUACAUUCUCUUCUUCAGUUCAAAGAUGUAUUACUUAUGUAAAGUUUAUCUUCUUGUCUUUACAAGCCUAUAACAUAGACCCAAUAUGAAAUGCACAUCUGAUCUUGGCUAGGCCGUUAGU